This 494-nucleotide ribosomal RNA is filed under the name uncultured bacterium. RNAcentral describes it as "partial 16S ribosomal RNA". It matches the Rfam family "Bacterial small subunit ribosomal RNA", at positions 28 to 504 of the family's 1533-position model. The record is from RNAcentral.
GAUGAACGCUGGCGGCGUGCCUAAUACAUGCAAGUCGAGCGAACGGACGAGAAGCUUGCUUCUCUGAUGUUAGCGGCGGACGGGUGAGUAACACGUGGAUAACCUACCUAUAAGACUGGGAUAACUUCGGGAAACCGGAGCUAAUACCGGAUAAUAUUUUGAACCGCAUGGUUCAAAAGUAAAAGACGGUCUUGCUGUCACUUAUAGAUGGAUCCGCGCUGCAUUAGCUAGUUGGUAAGGUAACGGCUUACCAAGGCAACGAUGCAUAGCCGACCUGAGAGGGUGAUCGGCCACACUGGAACUGAGACACGGUCCAGACUCCUACGGGAGGCAGCAGUAGGGAAUCUUCCGCAAUGGGCGAAAGCCUGACGGAGCAACGCCGCGUGAGUGAUGAAGGUCUUCGGAUCGUAAAACUCUGUUAUUAGGGAAGAACAUAUGUGUAAGUAACUGUGCACAUCUUGACGGUACCUAAUCAGAAAGCCACGGCUAACUAC